GAAGGCAUGAGCUUUAAUUGUAGGGUGGAGCUGUAUCUGUGUCUGAGAUACCCUGUCUAAGGCCAGCUUACCUGAGUACACCUUUGGAUGGAUGCUGGGAAGACAAUUUCAUUUCAUCUUUCCUGCCACUCUACACUGACUGACAAGGAAUUCAGCUCAAGGUCACUGUGUAACCUGCACCCAUGUCAUGUCCAAGUGCAUGGAGAUGUAGGUGGAACUGUCUGCCCUGUUGUUAUCUUCCAUGGAAAUAAUGAAGAAGAAACCAGAGGAAAACAAGAAAGUGGGAUUUAUUCCAUCACAACCAAGGGUUCUGCUCACGCUUCUACAUGUCUGCAGGUUGCAGAGACUAUGGCCCAGAGAAAUUUUAAGCAGAAGAAAUACCUCUUUUCAGCUUUCCAUUUUACCAGCCUCAACAAACCAAAAGCUCAGAUUGUUCUUUGCCACAUUCCCUCUUUCCCUUGUUUAACACUGAGUGGUCUCAUCAGAGACCAGCAGUGACACUCACACACACUCAGACCUCUUCUGACAAACACUUCACCAGGUCCCUGUGGAGAUUGUAUUAGCCCCCUGACCUCACUGGCUGUGGUGGUGUCAGUAACCAGGCAUCCUCUGGCAGAGGAUGCUCAAGGCUUUCUUCUCUUCAGACAUUUCCAGCUGAUGAGUUCCCAAUUUACAACAGAAUUUCUCAUUAUUGAUGUAGUCGAUUAUUAACACAGUGUUGUACUUACCACAUUUCUGCUAUUUGGGUCCUGAGGAUCAUCUUUCUAUGUGAUGCCUCAGAGUCUGUUAAUUUUUACUGAGUUUAUUAAAGUUGCUGAAUUUUAACCUAUUUUCAUUUGCCUGGCUUGAGACAUAAUCAACAACUAAGAUUCUAGUGAUGUACCACUGUAAACAGCUCAGUCUGAGGAAUCAGCCAUGUCUAUUUGUAAAUUCAUGCAUAUGUUUGUAUGCCUCACCCUCUACCCCCAUAUUUUAUGCAUACCCAGAAUAAGAUGCCAGCAAAAAUGACAAAAGAUUAUCUAAUGAGCCAUCUAGCUAUAAUACUUAUCUAAAUUAAACACUGUGUAAAAUAAAUUAGUUUGCUAAAGAAAAUGAAACA
RNAcentral lists this long non-coding RNA (1099 nucleotides) under Cyanistes caeruleus (blue tit). RNAcentral describes it as "lncRNA (ENSCCEG00000013225.1)". The record is from RNAcentral. Lineage: Eukaryota; Metazoa; Chordata; Aves; Passeriformes; Paridae.